Terrapene triunguis (Three-toed box turtle) is the source of this 202-nucleotide long non-coding RNA. RefSeq lists it as uncharacterized. The record is from RefSeq and is a predicted model, not a curated record. The transcript is spliced from 3 exons. Lineage: Eukaryota; Metazoa; Chordata; Testudines; Emydidae.
GCUGGGGAACCUGCUGGCAAAGACCCCAGACACUGACAAGCUCCACUACAUCUUGGAGCACAUUAACUACUGGACCGUGUCCAGGGUGCCACAAGAGAGAGCCAGGGCCAUCAGGAGCAGCGCGGCCCUGCUCACGUCCGUCAUCUCCCUCCCUGACUUUGACAACUCAGCCGAAUUCCCCAGGAUGGGUCACCACGUGGCA